Molecule: unclassified non-coding RNA, 362 nt
Filed under: uncultured fungus
Lineage: Eukaryota; Fungi
Description: sequence contains ITS1
Rfam family: 5.8S ribosomal RNA (bases 1-105)
Source: RNAcentral
GAAAUGCGAUACGUAAUGCGAAUUGCAGAAUUCAGUGAAUCAUCAAAUCUUUGAACGCAAAUUGCGCUCUUGGGUAGCCCUAGGAGCACGCCUCUCUCAGUAUCGGUUCAAAAACAACUCAGCAGCGUAUUGUCAUGAUACGUGUUGGCUGGAUAAUGAGAGUCUGUAUGUUCAGUACAGUCUCUUGAAAUAUAUUGAGUGAAGUCUAUCACAGUUCACACUAUCGACCUCGAGUCGAAAGCCGGUCUCUGACUGGUUGUGUUGAGAAGUGACGUGAAUAAUCGGAGAGAUUUAUCUCUUCAUAACAUUUACGUGUAACGUUAUCAACACAACUAUACCAAAGGUCUAGGAUGGCUGUAUGA